CAAUAGCGUAUAUUAAAGUUGUUGCGGUUAAAAAGCUCGUAGUUGGAUUUCUGCUGAGAACGACCGGUCCGCCCUCUGGGUGUGUAUCUGGCUCUUUCUUGGCAUCUUCUUGGUGAACGUUGCUGCACUUGACUGUGUGGAGCGCUACCCAGGACUUUUACUUUGAGGAAAUUAGAGUGUUUCAAGCAGGCAUACGCCUUGAAUACAUUAGCAUGGAAUAAUAAGAUAGGACUUUGGUGCUAUUUUGUUGGUUGAGCCUAAAGUAAUGAUUAAUAGGGAUAGUUGGGGGCACCUGUAUUGCGUUGUCAGAGGUGAAAUUCUUGGAUUUACGCAAGACAAACAGCUGCGAAAGCGUCUGCCAAGGAUGUUUUCAUUAA
RNAcentral lists this ribosomal RNA (377 nucleotides) under uncultured eukaryote. RNAcentral describes it as "partial 18S ribosomal RNA". It matches the Rfam family "Eukaryotic small subunit ribosomal RNA", at positions 592 to 976 of the family's 1831-position model. The record is from RNAcentral.